This is a long non-coding RNA of Lagopus muta (rock ptarmigan), 1454 nucleotides long. RefSeq lists it as uncharacterized. The record is from RefSeq and is a predicted model, not a curated record. The transcript has 3 exons. Lineage: Eukaryota; Metazoa; Chordata; Aves; Galliformes; Phasianidae.
CAGUCAUGUUUAAAGCUGUCCCCCUUUUGUGGAUAAAACAGGAAAACAAACGGAUUGUGAAUCAACAAUGACAACACCUAGCAAUCAGCAAGCUCAGGUUUUACAACUCUGGAGUUUGAAACAACAGGAUUAUUAUCACUGCAAUAGCAUAUUUAGUGUCUGAAUACAGAGAGAUUUUGAAGAGCUUCAAACUGAAGUGAGAAAAUUGUGCAGUUCGAAGAGGAGUAUUAUACUGUGCCAAAGUAUACCUUAGCAGCUGCUGUUUCAGUCUAGGAUUAUACAGACAGGAUGUUCCUGUAGAAAGAAGAUAAAGAGGCUCAAGAACACCUAACAUUGGUAUGACUGUGCCACUGGGGAUAAGUUUGACAUGGUGAAGAACAUCAAGCCAAGCUCUUGCCACUGGAUAAUCAUUCCAGUGAUUGUAUCAUGAAUCCGAAACAAGGAAUAGAAGUGGGUGUACAACCUGACAGCGCUCUCAGUAGUCACAAAAACUGAAGAGACAGAAGGAAACAGGAAGGGAGGAAAGAAAUGGAGAAUGGAGGACAAAGAUGGAUGAGAAUCCCCAGAAGACCAUAAAAUGCUGCUUUCAGAAUAUCUCUAACAUGAUUAUGAAAUGAAUGGGUGAGACAUGGAUUUUUCAUGGGAUAUGUUUAAGAGAGUAUGUACUUAGAAGAAGAAACCCCAGAAAUAUAAACAUCUGUGGUUUUGUUUCUGCAUAAUCAUGGACUACAAAAUAUGCAAGCAAUAUUUUGGAAAAGGAAAACUAGCAAAUGAGCCACAACCCAAAAACCAUUAGCAACAUAGACUUCAUUCUAUAUUUAUUCAUGGUUCUGAAAUAAGAACAGAUGCAGUAUAAUAAUGCUCCUAGGAGCCCUUAGUUACAGGGUUUAUUCUGUACCUGAUGUUUGCACAUAACUGAUGAAUUUAGUACAAUUCUACGCCUGCUUUUCUAGGCUCACUGAAUUUAAAUGCAAAUAAAGAGAAAAGUUAUUUUAUUUCCAUGGUAAUUAAAAAGUAUUAGUGUUAAAUACAAAGAGUGAACUUGAUGUACCAUGCAACAGUCCAACUUUACCAAGCCACCUGAUUAUUCAACCCAAUUACAGUCUCCAGGCAGCCUGUACAUGUCAUUUAGAAUAGCAUCCCUAAUGUCUUCAUAGUACUAGACCAUGUGAGGAGGAAAUUCAGUUGGUGGUUGCUUGUACGUAAAUGGAAUUUUCAGAACUCAUAAUUCAUAACAUCCCGAAUUUAGGAAGGUGAUCUACCCUCCCUGAAGAUCAUAAGCAUCAUGAUGUACUUACCAUGCCCCAAACAAAUGGAAGAUAGCAAUAAUGCUGUAGUUCUGGCGAAUCAAUUAGAAAUGCCAUGUUGCUGUAGGGCACCUUUCACCACAAUCUGCACAGCUUAGAAAGCAGUUCAAUUAGACAGAUAACACUGUCCAAAAAUAAAAUUUUCCA